GAUGAACGCUGGCGGCGUGCCUAAUACAUGCAAGUCGAGCGAACGGACGAGAAGCUUGCUUCUCUGAUGUUAGCGGCGGACGGGUGAGUAACACGUGGAUAACCUACCUAUAAGACUGGGAUAACUUCGGGAAACCGGAGCUAAUACCGGAUAAUAUUUUGAACCGCAUGGUUCAAAAGUGAAAGACGGUCUUGCUGUCACUUAUAGAUGGAUCCGCGCUGCAUUAGCUAGUUGGUAAGGUAACGGCUUACCAAGGCAACGAUGCAUAGCCGACCUGAGAGGGUGAUCGGCCACACUGGAACUGAGACACGGUCCAGACUCCUACGGGAGGCAGCAGUAGGGAAUCUUCCGCAAUGGGCGAAAGCCUGCCGGAGCAACGCCGCGUGAGUGAUGAAGGUCUUCGGAUCGUAAAACUCUGUUAUUAGGGAAGAACAUAUGUGUAAGUAACUGUGCACAUCUUGACGUUACCUAAUCAGAAAGCCACGGCUAACUACGU
This 496-nucleotide ribosomal RNA is filed under the name uncultured bacterium. RNAcentral's name for it is "partial 16S ribosomal RNA". It matches the Rfam family "Bacterial small subunit ribosomal RNA", at positions 28 to 506 of the family's 1533-position model. The record is from RNAcentral.